RNAcentral lists this ribosomal RNA (493 nucleotides) under uncultured bacterium. RNAcentral describes it as "partial 16S ribosomal RNA". It matches the Rfam family "Bacterial small subunit ribosomal RNA", at positions 29 to 507 of the family's 1533-position model. The record is from RNAcentral.
ACGAACGCUGGCGGCGUGCUUAACACAUGCAAGUCGAACGGUGAAGCGCCUUCCUUUUUGGUGGGUGUGGAUGAGUGGCGAACGGGUGAGUAACACGUGAGUAACCUGCCCCCUUCUUCUGGAUAACCGCAUGAAAGUGUGGCUAAUACGGGAUAUUCUGGGUCUGUCGCAUGAUGGGUCUGGGAAAGAUAUUGUUUCGGUGGGGGAUGGGCUCGCGGCCUAUCAGCUUGUUGGUGGGGUGAUGGCCUACCAAGGCGGUGACGGGUAGCCGGCCUGAGAGGGUGGACGGUCACACUGGGACUGAGACACGGCCCAGACUCCGACGGGAGGCAGCAGUGGGGAAUAUUGCACAAUGGGCGCAAGCCUGAUGCAGCGACGCCGCGUGAGGGAUGGAGGCCUUCGGGUUGUGAACCUCUUUCGCCAGUGAAGCAGGCCUGCCUCGUUUGUGGGUGGGUUGACGGUAGCUGGAGAAGAAGCGCCGGCUAACUACGUG